GGGCGACUAGUUCAGCGGAAGAACGCUUCCCUCACACGGAAGAGGUCACAGGUUCGAACCCUGUGUCGCCCACCA
Molecule: transfer RNA, 75 nt
Filed under: Synergistetes bacterium ADurb.Bin520
Lineage: Bacteria; Thermotogati; Synergistota
Also listed under: 1 other name
Description: tRNA-Val
Rfam family: tRNA
About the family: Transfer RNA (tRNA) molecules are approximately 80 nucleotides in length. Their secondary structure includes four short double-helical elements and three loops (D, anti-codon, and T loops).
Source: RNAcentral